Molecule: RNA transcript, 405 nt
Organism: Fragaria vesca subsp. vesca
Lineage: Eukaryota; Viridiplantae; Streptophyta; Magnoliopsida; Rosales; Rosaceae
Exons: 2
Source: RefSeq, a predicted model, not a curated record
CGCAAUCGUGGCAAUACCACUUCAAUUCUCAGUUUGCACUUCGGUCAUAUUUGUACAUUCUUUUCCAUGAAUUGGUGCUCUCGCUCUUAAGCACGAGACCUCCGCCGAUAACCACCGUCUCUCUCAAAAGUCAAAACGCUUCGUCGGGAUAACUACUUUCGUUCCUCUCUAGCUUCCACUCCCAGCUCGGCAUCUAGAUCUAUCUCCCUCAUCCUCAUUGAGAAGCAUUUUGCAAUUUGCACGGAAAAUGAUGAUCAGGAGCUUGGAACUAGAGUAAGAAGAGGUUAAUUUGAUGAUCAAGAGUUUGGAAGCCUAGCCUAGAAUGUUGGUGAUCACAUUUGUCGUUACCUCCCUCAAGCUUCAAUGCUCUCGUUAGAUGACAAGAAGCUUGCAACUUUGUUGUCA